GACAACCGGUUUUCAUCCCCUGUUUUUGGAAAAUUUUUAAUGGAAUUCGGCCGGCCGACGGUGGCCGGCCGGGGUCAAUUCGGCCGAAACGAGUUCGGCCGGAGGUGGGUGAACGGGGGCCGGGCUUCCAGCCCCGGUCUCCCUCUCUUUCCUCCCUUUCUUCCUCUCCUUCUUCUCUUCUUCUUCCUCCGCUCGGCUUGUGACAGUGGGAUGGCCGACGGCGGCGGGCCGAGCGCCGCCGCCGAGGGCCGACCGGAGCCACCAGCCACCCCCCCCUUUUUCCUUUCCCUCUUCUUCUUCUUCUUCUUC
Molecule: long non-coding RNA, 309 nt
Filed under: Phoenix dactylifera (date palm)
Lineage: Eukaryota; Viridiplantae; Streptophyta; Magnoliopsida; Arecales; Arecaceae
Description: long non-coding RNA (PDAC_LNC022177)
Source: RNAcentral